This 378-nucleotide unclassified non-coding RNA is filed under the name uncultured Pseudomonadota bacterium. RNAcentral's name for it is "uncultured proteobacterium contains 16S-23S intergenic spacer region". Lineage: Bacteria; Pseudomonadati; Pseudomonadota. The record is from RNAcentral.
UCCUGCUUAGAACAGGCAGUUCCGCUAAAGUGCCCAGCCCAACCUGAUGGCAACUAGCAGUAAGGGUUGCGCUCGUUGCGGGACUUAACCCAACAUCUCACGACACGAGCUGACGACAGCCAUGCAGCACCUGUGCAAACCCGGCCGAACCGAAAGUAGAAUCUCUCCUACCGAUAAUUUGCAUGUCAAGAGCGGGUAAGGUUCUGCGCGUUGCUUCGAAUUAAACCACAUAAUCCACCGCUUGUGCGGGUCCCCGUCAAUUCCUUUGAGUUUUAAUCUUGCGACCGUACUCCCCAGGCGGACUGUUUAUCGCGUUAGCUUCGACAUCGAGUCUUAACGACCCAACACCUAACAGUCAUCGUUUACGGCGUGGACUAC